UGCGUAGGUGGCAAGCGUUAUCCGGAUUUAUUGGGCGUAAAGGGAACGCAGGCGGUCUUUUAAGUCUGAUGUGAAAGCCUUCGGCUUAACCGGAGUAGUGCAUUGGAAACUGGGAGACUUGAGUGCAGAAGAGGAGAGUGGAACUCCAUGUGUAGCGGUGAAAUGCGUAGAUAUAUGGAAGAACACCAGUGGCGAAAGCGGCUCUCUGGUCUGUAACUGACGCUGAGGUUCGAAAGCGUGGGUAGCAAACAGG
This 253-nucleotide ribosomal RNA is filed under the name uncultured bacterium. RNAcentral describes it as "partial 16S ribosomal RNA". It matches the Rfam family "Bacterial small subunit ribosomal RNA", at positions 524 to 776 of the family's 1533-position model. The record is from RNAcentral.